AUCCUGAUUCAGGGAGGCAGUGACAAGAAAUAACAACUUUCAACUUUGUUGAAAAGUGUAAUGAGGAUAAUUUACAAACCUUACCGAAAGCAAUUGGAGGGCAAGUCUGGUGCCAGCAGCCGCGGUAAUUCCAGCUCCAAAAGCGUAUAUUAAAGUUGUUGCAGUUAAAAAGCUCGUAGUUGAAGUUCUGGCUGUAUUGGGCCUUAGCACUUGAUGCGGAGGAACCAGCGGUCAUCCGCUUGCAAAUACAUGUCCUUCCUUAACCGGUAGGCUGUAUAAGUAAGCACUUUACCUUGAGAAAAACAGAGUGUUCCAGGCAGGUUUGUCCGGAAUGCGUUAGCAUGGAAUAAUAGAAUAUGACUGAAGUCGAUUUAUUGGUUUAAGGCUUUAGUAAUGAUUAAUAGGAACAAUCGGGGGCAUUGGUGCUUGUCAGUCAGAGGUGAAAUUCUAGGAUUUGACAAAGACUAACUGAUGCGAAAGCGUUUGCCAAGAAUGUUUUCAUUAAUCAAGAACGAAAGUUAGGGGAUCAAAGACGAUCAGAUACCGUCCUAGUCUUAACUAUAAACUAUACCGUCUCGGAUUCAGAUGAAUUUUAAAGUUCAUUUGGGACCGUAGGAGAAAUCAAAGUCUUUGGGUUCUGGGGGGAGUAUGGUCGCAAGGCUGAAACUUAAAGGAAUUGACGGUUUUGCACCACCAUGGAGUGGAGCCUGCGGCUUAAUUUGACCCAACACUGGGAAACUCAUCAGGGCAAGAAGAUUUUAGGAUUGACAGAUUGAGAGUUCUUUCUCGAUUGGUCUAGUGGUGGUGCAUGGCCGUUCUUAGUUGGUGGAGUGAUUUGUCUGGUUAAUUCCGUUAACGGACGAGACCUUAACCUGCUAACUAGUACUUUGAUUUUCAAUCGGAGUUACUUCUUAGAGGGACUAUGUGAGUAAUCACAUGGAAGUUUGAGGCAAUAACAGGUCUGUGAUGCCCUUAGAUGUCCUGAGCUGCACGCGCGCUACAAUGACACAUUCAGCGAGUAUUUCCUGACCCGAAAGGGCUCGGGUAAUCUUUUCAGUGUGUGUCGUGAUAGGGAUAGAUCUUUGUAAUUAUGGAUCUUGAACGAGGAAUUCCUAGUAAGCGCACGUCAUCAGCGUGUGCUGAUUACGUCCCUGCAAAAUGUACACACCGCCCGUCGCUAUUACCGAUUGGGUGUAUAGGUGAACCUUCUCGAUAGCCGCAAGGCUAGAAAUUAAGUAAACCUUUGCACCUAGAGGAAAUAAAAGUCGUAACAAGGUUUCCGUAGGUGAACCUGCGGAAG
This 1300-nucleotide ribosomal RNA is filed under the name metagenome. RNAcentral describes it as "SSU rRNA". It matches the Rfam family "Eukaryotic small subunit ribosomal RNA", at positions 448 to 1823 of the family's 1831-position model. The record is from RNAcentral.